Non-coding RNA from Colletotrichum liriopes, 74 nucleotides. NCBI's taxonomy places the organism in Eukaryota, Fungi, Ascomycota, Sordariomycetes, Glomerellales, Glomerellaceae. The record is from the annotation of a GenBank genome assembly.
GGUUGUGUAGUGUAGUGGUAAUCACUCCGGAUUUUGAUUCCGGCAACCCCGGUUCGAACCCGGGCACGACCUCA